GUGCUCGCUCCAGCAGCACAUACACUAAAAUUGGAACUAUAGCGAGAAGAUUAGCAUGGCAUAUGCACAGGGAUGACAUGCAGAUUCAUGAAGCAUUCCAUGUAUUU
RNAcentral lists this small nuclear RNA (107 nucleotides) under Chlamydotis macqueenii (Macqueen's bustard). The record is from RNAcentral. Lineage: Eukaryota; Metazoa; Chordata; Aves; Otidiformes; Otididae.